Molecule: ribosomal RNA, 230 nt
Filed under: uncultured bacterium
Lineage: Bacteria
Description: partial 16S ribosomal RNA
Rfam family: Bacterial small subunit ribosomal RNA
Source: RNAcentral
CGGGGUGGAGUAAUGUCUGGGAAACGGCUCGAUGGAGGGGGAUAACUACUGGAAACGGUAGCUAAUACCGCAUAACGUCGCAAGACCAAAGAGGGGGACCUUAGGGCCUCUUGCCAUCGGAUGUGCCCAGAUGGGAUUAGCUAGUAGGUGGGGUAAUGGCUCACCUAGGCGACGAUCCCUAGCUGGUCUGAGAGGAUGACCAGCCACACUGGAACUGAGACACGGUCCAG